AGGACAUGCCAUAAGAUGAGCAUGACGAGAGACAGAUUCUGACCGACUCAGAGGCGGGCAAGUACUCGCUCCAGUUCACGUCUGCCGCUAGACAAAUGUCACCGAGCAGCGACUGAAUUUGUGGUCAAAAGUUUGCAUUUUCGGAAGGAUGGGCAGGAC
Long non-coding RNA from Entelurus aequoreus (snake pipefish), 159 nucleotides. RefSeq lists it as uncharacterized. The transcript is spliced from 3 exons. The record is from RefSeq and is a predicted model, not a curated record. NCBI's taxonomy places the organism in Eukaryota, Metazoa, Chordata, Actinopteri, Syngnathiformes, Syngnathidae.